Gallus gallus (chicken) is the source of this 4582-nucleotide long non-coding RNA. Lineage: Eukaryota; Metazoa; Chordata; Aves; Galliformes; Phasianidae. The record is from Ensembl.
GGAGCCCUUUUAGUGUGCUUUUUAUUCUGACAAGAUUAAUAAUUAUCCUAUAAGCAUGACGCGGUUUUAAAAUGUUGUUUCUAGUAUGAGUUAGCAUUGUGCAUGUGGGUAUAGAUGUAGAAAGAAAAGUUAUUUCACAGCAGAGGAACGUAUAUUUAAACAAAGAGUGGUAAAAUGAUAAAACUGUUUUAAAAAAAGGAAAACAUUUUUUCUUCCCAUCACCAUUAUUUUGAAUCUAAAGGAUCUAUAGCGAGUUUCAGAAGGGAACUGGGCGUUUGUAACCAAAACAGGAGCUACUGAAACGAGCUGGAAGCAAUUUGGGGAGGUGUAUCAAACGCCCCAGAGCUUUGGGCAAAGUGGCGAGAAAGAGAUCUGCCACCUGGAGGGUGACAGGCAUGUUCCCUCCCCCCCCCCAGCCACCAACUUUUGCCCUAUCCUGUGACACCUGCGACUAGCUCCUGCUGGGAAGCAGGCUACAGACUUCCCAGGUUUUGCUGUCCUUCAGCAAGACGGUUCCUAGGUGUUUAUAGCCCUCAUGACAGCCGUAGCACUUGCCAGAAGGUGUCAUUUCCCUCUUCGCUAAGCUCAUACACAUCCAGUGCUUUCCACUGGUGCAAACACACUUUUUUUUUUUUUUUUUUUUUGCCUUAGCUGUUCAAAAUGCUCAGUCAUAUGUACCCUACGUAUCGUAUGGAUCAACUCACAUUAGUGGCCUGGUUCACUGAAGGGAGGGUAUGAACUGCAGGUUUCUUAGGCAUAAGCGCAAAGUUGGUGCGGCCCUCAGAGCCGAGCCCAGCAGAACUCCCAUUUGAGGUCCCAGCCAUACAACAACAACCCUUUCACUUCUAUUAGGGUCCAAAGGAGUCACACCAGGGAGAAGACCGUGGGCCAGACCCUGCUCUUUUUUCAGUGAGGCCCAACUCCAGGUGUCUUCAGAAAAACGGGGCAGGCUGAAUCUCCUUUGGCUCAGAGCAGGGCAGAGAUCUGGUGUUAAGGAAAGGACCGAGGGCUGCACCAUCUUCCCACUAAAGCCAGUGGCAAAGCAGGCAGCAGCACCUCCAUCUCCCCUGAACUGAAGCGCAGGAUUCAUCCCUGCUUCCCUCUCCCUAACUCCUCUUGCAGGAGUAAUUUUGAGGUAACACAAUGCCAAGCACCACAGGGCUCACUUCUACAACAUCAGGCUGAGCACUACAAACUCCCAUUCUACAUUUGAAGUGUAACUGCAUUACUUGACUUCAUACUUUCUAUAAAUGUCCCAUUGUGGUAUGUCUUCGCUACGUAUAAAAGCACAGGUAGGUAUUAUGGGCUGUAUCACUUCGUUUUGUCUCAUUCAUCAGCUACUUUAAAAUAUUUUCUUCGCAGUGCAGUAGAAAAGAAAGCAAACGGUUUUGUUGUUGGGUUUUUUUUUAAUCAUUUCCCAAGUUAGAUUUAUAUGCCAUAAUGACUGUUGUAUUCCACGUGCAGAACGGCAAAACAGGCUUACAUACCUGACCUCACUUCUUCAGUGAACUGCCUCAUUUGUGAAAUGGCACAUAGAAAUCUGGAAUCUCAAACGAAUCACUUGUUUUUUCUUGCCGUGAAACCUUACUUAAGUUCACAGCAAUUUUAAAUAUGAGACGUUUAAAAUAUUAAUAUUUCCCAUAUAUUAUUCACCCACUUUCAGGUUUCAUCUCAAGUUAGAGGCACUUCGUAUUUCAAAGGCAGAACUGCUUCUCUCUCUCUUUUUUUUUUUUUCAGCACUAAUGUUCUAUUAAUUCACUUUGUAAUAUCACUCCAGUUCAUACAAAUAAAAUUGCACUAAAUUGCUGAUGCCAAGAAUCAUGCUGAAGUUGUUGGCGUUAUAAAAAAUUCCACUCUCCAUUAUUAUUUUAUAAGAUUUUCUGUAAUCUCUGCAUCGUCUUUUUAGGUAUGAUUCAAAGCCCUGCGUAGUGAGUGCCACGAGGACAAAUAUGCACGCACGAUUAUCUCCGUGCUGAGAGAUGGGGCUGAAUGUAGGUAUGUAUAUACAGUGAAGUCUGUGACUUCAGUGACUUCUGUAAGGAGGUGAAGGCAAGCUCCCAGCGAACUAACAGCCUCCACAGAUGAUCCUUUAUGAACGUUUUGCAUUUGGUGUACUUUCCCUUAAGGCAGCGUGAUGUAUCCCAUCACACACGUGUAUACGUGUGUGUGUGUGUGCAGAGACACUGGGAAUGUCUUAUGUGCAUAUUACACAACAUAUGCCAUUCGUGUAAUCACUUUAGAUAUAUAAAUAAAAUUCGUUUUAUAUACAUAAAUAAAAUAUGUGAAGGUAUUCCUUAAAGGAGCCAUAAAGGCCCACGUGUAGGUGGAUUCUUCAUCACAUCCAAAGAACUGAAAGACCGGGGAUAUAAAGCGGAAUCUUUUUAUAUGAGCGUGUAUCUCUUAUAAUCUCUCCAUAAAAUCCACAUGGCUGCAUAACCACUUCCAGAGAUGCGGAUGGAAGUUAUACCUGGACAGCCCGAAAGCCUUUAAUAAGUAAAGCAGCAUAUAAUCCUAUGAAAUGCCUUUCAGGAGUGAAAUAAUUACAAAGCGCUGGAGCAAGAGCAGCAAACAGCAGGAAAAUCACCUGUGAAUAGAUGUGAGAAACUGGAAGUGUACUCCAGUGUUUGUGUGGUCAUCAAAAUCAAACGUUCAGGAGCUGGAAAUCCAACUGCCGGGAGGGCAGACUGAUACAUUUAUAGGCACGUAUAGCCCGUGCCUUAAACUUUGAGUCUGCAACGUUGUUAGUGAGGUAUCCUCCUUUAUAAUGCUUGGCAUUUGUUCCCUUGGCAUUUAAAGAAGAUGGGCUGUUUUAAUUACAAUUUGAGCGAAUUCUUUAAAAGAAAAAAAAACCAAACUGCAAAAUGACUGAUGCAAAUCCCGGCCACUCGUGAGCACAAUGAAAUUCUACUGAGCAGAGAGGACACCGGGAGAGGCUCCCGAUCAGCUGCAGCAGAGAAUGCCCUGCGCUACGCAGCCCUCAGACGCCGGGAUUCUGAAAUACGAAUUAGACCUCAAAUGCAAAUCAACCUCCGAAGGGGGAGAAGGAAAAAAAUAAUAAUAAAAAAAAAAAAAUCAGAGAGACAUACCGAGUCAAACGCUCCUUUUUCUGCCUAUCUCGUCCCCAGUGUUAAAACAGGCAAAACAAAACAAGUGCACAUCAAGAUAGAGCCAAUUAAGGGGAAGGCAGCGCGGAGGGCGGGUGGGAGGCAGCCACCUCGCCGAGCACAUGGGGAGCGGGAGCGCAUCGCCCCACCUCGAGCCGUCCCUGAGCCUUCCGAGCUCUCCCAGGAGGACAACGGGGGGCGGACGGCGCCGUCCAACCUCCCGCAGCCACGAGCACAGCGGAUCCGGCACGGGAGAGUUCGGGCAGCGCGGAGCGGUGCGCUUCGGCCAAGGGUGGCACCGGGAUCCCAGCGCAGUGCCGCACUCCGCGCGGCCGGGCUUUACGCACAGCGCAGUACGCGGGAGGUGUCUUUACGUUUAACGUUUUAAUUUGGACAUGCUAAUUAGGCUGUGGGUCUCCACGGUUCUAUCGGCGGAUAGCUGAUCGCUUCCCUCUGCGAGGAAGUGUCUGCUAAAUACAUUUCCCGGCCCCGAUCUCCGUUCCCAGAAGCCCGUCUAGCAGAACCGUCCCGUCGGGCGAAACGGACCUUUAAUAAUGGAAGGCCGAGGGAGGUUCUGCGCAGCGGCGCACCGCCUCGGGCACGGCCCCAACGCGGCCCUCUGCAGCGGAGCCAUCGAAAUAACUCCGUGCCCAGCGAACUUGUUGCUCGCUUUCAGCUCCUCCGCUCACCCCGGCUCGGGUCGGUGCCAGGCGAGGGGCAGAGGCAGCCUGGGGGAGAAGCCGCCGCUGUCGGGGUGAGAAACUUCCCGGGCUCCAAAGCCGCCCGCUCUGGGCGUCGAGGGGCAGCGGCCGCUCCGCUGCUGGGAACUGCGCCCUGGCCAUGUGUUUUCCCCGUGUGGAACGUUGCUCGCAAGUGCGGGAGGUGGAAAGUUUUGUUCACGUCAUUAUCUCAAAGCUUUCCCCGCGCGGUCAGUGGACGCAGAGGCUUCACUCCGUUUUCCGAAUGAAAACCCACGGACGCUUGAUGUGAAAAGUGCAUGCUCCCGUGGGCCGUGCUUUCCCCGAUUACUUUCUUUUUUCUUUUUCUUUUUCUUUUUUUCUUUCACUUUCUUGGCUCCGUCCCGCCAGGAUCUCUCUACGUUUACGGGCUGUACGGUUUCCAGGGCUCCAAUGGGGCUUUCCCUGAUGGAGGCGAGGAACAGAACUUUCCCACUCGCUCGGAAACUGCCGAGGAUCCGGCGGGGGGAGCACACAAAGAGGCCCCAAAUCCCCCCCGGGGCUCAGGGACAUCCCCUGCAGGUGCAGGACCAAAGCUGCAGGGAUGGCCCAAAGCGGUGCAUGUGUCGCUCUCGUCCCCUAUUAUGAGCACUACGGGAGUGAAACGGGGGGUGCGGAGCGGGUUCUUGGGACAGCGGUUCUUGAGCCCACGCACGUUGGUGAAGGGAAACGCGGGGCCGUGCGCGCCGUCGGGCUGAGCCAGGGUUAAUGCCUGCGGGCCCAGACACGCUGUGCUCCGGG